This 399-nucleotide ribosomal RNA is filed under the name uncultured bacterium. Its description in RNAcentral is "bacterial SSU rRNA". It matches the Rfam family "Bacterial small subunit ribosomal RNA", at positions 357 to 773 of the family's 1533-position model. The record is from RNAcentral.
GGGAAUAUUGCACAAUGGGGGAAACCCUGAUGCAGCGACGCCGCGUGAAGGAAGAAGUAUUUCGGUAUGUAAACUUCUAUCAGCAGGGAAGAAAAUGACGGUACCUGACUAAGAAGCCCCGGCUAACUACGUGCCAGCAGCCGCGGUAAUACGUAGGGGGCAAGCGUUAUCCGGAUUUACUGGGUGUAAAGGGAGCGUAGGCGGUGCAGCAAGUCAGAAGUGAAAGCCCGGGGCUCAACUACGGGACUGCUUUUGAAACUGUUGAACUAGAUUGCAGGAGAGGUAAGUGGAAUUCCUAGUGUAGCGGUGAAAUGCGUAGAUAUUAGGAGGAACACCAGUGGCGAAGGCGGCUUACUGGACUGUAAAUGACGCUGAGGCUCGAAAGCGUGGGGAGCAAAC